AAGCCCAGUGCUGAAAUUCUCAUUGCUUUUUCUCUUCUUCAGUGACUUCCAAGUCUUCAAGCAAUGAAAAGCUGAUGCAUUGGCUUCUCAGCAGCUUCGGUGCUACAAGUGACGUGAAUACUGUGGAGACAGAGUAGAAGCGAGCAGCUCUGGAUAACAUCUUGGGUUCCUUUGCACGUACAUAGAAUAAAGUGCAGCUAGCAAGGCAGAAGACAGGAAGUUACAGAAGAAAAAGAUUGCUCAGAAAAGCAGAAAGGAUGUAGUACGUUAAGCUGGAGGUUUUUAAGAGACUGUAUCCAUCCAGGAUCGAAAGGAAGAUGGGAAUGUAAUUCAGCAGUUGUAUUUGGAGCAGCUGUUGUUCAGCUGUUGGACAGAGGCACUGGAAAAAAGGCUCUGAAACAUUGGCUGUGUAAGGAGGCAUGCCCUUCACAUCUUUGCAAAGAUCCUGGCUGACCUCU
RNAcentral lists this long non-coding RNA (458 nucleotides) under Anser cygnoides (Swan goose). Its description in RNAcentral is "lncRNA (ENSACDG00005007473.1)". Lineage: Eukaryota; Metazoa; Chordata; Aves; Anseriformes; Anatidae. The record is from RNAcentral.